This 2533-nucleotide unclassified non-coding RNA is filed under the name Aphidius gifuensis. RNAcentral describes it as "apoptosis-inducing factor 1, mitochondrial, transcript variant X2". Lineage: Eukaryota; Metazoa; Arthropoda; Insecta; Hymenoptera; Braconidae. The record is from RNAcentral.
GCUGAUACAAAUUCCUAGUGGUACGCAGUGGUUAUCUGGGAUAUAGUUUAUGUAUUUUUUCAUUCAUUUUUUUGUGAUAUUUAAUUUACCUUAAAAAUAAUAAAAAUCAUAGAGUUAAAUAAAAGUUAUAAAAAAUGUUGAAUUGUCAUCGAGUUUUAAGCCGAUUGUCGAAGAUAACGAGACAAGUCAAUGCUGGUUACAUUGAUCAACAGUCAGAAAAAUUCAUUGGGAGAAUCUGUACAAGAAAUGCGAGUGAUAAAAAAACUGUAAAAUCUGAUUUAAAACCAGCAUCAGGAACAACACUCAAAGCUGAAGAUUGUAUACCUCCAAAAUAUGAAAAAAUUUCAUCAAUUGAAGAACCAAGUUCAACAACAGCAUGUGAUAUUCCAACAGCACAAUAUAAUUCUUGUCCACCAGAUUGUGAAAUAAAUUGUGGUAAAAUUCCACCAAAUGGACCAAAAGAUGAUACAAUAUUUGAAAAUUAUUGGAAACAUAUACUAGCAGCACUUGCUUUAACUGGUGUUGGUUUUUAUGCAUUAACACGUGAUGAUAAAAAUAAAAAAACUACUGAAUCAUCUGAUAAAUCAGUUAAACAAAAAAGUAUAAUAAAAAAUGAAUCAUAUAAAAAAAAACAAGGUGAAAAAAUACGUUAUCCAAUAACUUCAUUAUCAAUACCACCAGAAAUACCAUAUUUAUUAAUUGGUGGUGGUACUGCUGCAUUUUCAGCAUUUAGAUCAAUUAAAUCACAUGAUCCAAAAGCAAAAGUUCUUGUUAUAACCGAUGAAUCAGAUAAUCCAUAUAUGAGACCACCAUUAUCAAAAGAAUUAUGGUACAAUAAAGAUAUGAAAUUAGCAACUGAAUUAAAUUUUAAACAAUGGAAUGGUACACAAAGAAGUCUUUAUUAUGAACCACCAGAAUUUUAUACAAAAGUUGAAAGUUUAAUGAGUUCAGAUAAAGGUGGUGUUGCUGUUGCUACUGGAUGGAAAAUUGAACGUAUUGAUCCAUUAAAAAAAAUAGCAAUACUGGAUGAUGGUUAUGAAAUAAAAUAUGAUAAAUGUCUUAUUGCAACUGGUGCAUCACCUAAAAAUCUUGCAAUAUUUGAAACAGCUGAUGAUGAGAUCAAAUCAAAAGUCAUAGCAUUUAGAACAAAAGAUAAUUUUUUGGAUCUUGAAAAUAGAUUAAAUGAUCCAAAUAUUAAUAAUAUUGUUAUUAUUGGUGGUGGUUUUUUAGGUUCUGAAUUAGCAUGUUCAAUCGCCAGAAAUUUUGAAAAUACUAAAAAAAAAAUAUAUCAAAUUUAUAAAGAAAAAUAUAUUAUGUCACAAAUAUUACCAGAAUAUUUAAGUAAAUGGGCAACUGAAAAAACAACAAUGGAAGGUGUAACAUGUAUUGCUAAUUCUGAAAUUAAAGAUAUUGAAAUAAAUAGUGGUAACAUGAAUUUAAUACUAAAUGAUGGUAAAAAAAUUAAUGCUGAUCAAGUUAUUAUUGCUGUUGGUGUUGAUGCUAAUACUGAACUUGCUAAAACUUCAAAUCUUGAAGUUGAUAAAAAUAUUGGUGGAUUUUUAGUUAAUGCUGAACUUGAAGCAAGAUCUAAUCUUUGGGUUGCUGGUGAUGCUGCAUGUUUUUAUGAUGUUAAACUUGGUAGAAGAAGAGUUGAGCAUCAUGAUCAUGCUGUUAUUUCUGGUAGACUUGCUGGUGAAAAUAUGACUGGUGCAGGCAAGCCUUAUCUUCAUCAAUCUAUGUUUUGGUCUGAUUUGGGACCAGAAGUCGGUUAUGAAGCAAUUGGAAUUGUUGAUUCUUUACUUCCAACUGUUGGAGUAUUUGCUAAACUUGAUGAUAAAAAUAAUAAAUCAUCAGAAACAAAAAAUAAACAUUUAAAUAAUGAUAAUGAAUUGAGUAAUAAAAAUACCAAAAAAAGUGAUAAAUCCGAAUUAUUAUCUCAUACAAUUGAUAAUAAUAAUUCAGACAAUAAUAAUGGCCAAAAAAAAAAUCGUGAUUGUUCAGAUAAUAUUACAAAACCAAUUCAAAAUAAAGAUGAUUAUGAAAAAGGGGUUAUUUUUUAUCUCAGAGAUGACAUUGUUGUUGGAAUUGUCUUGUGGAAUAUUUUCAAUCGAAUGUCUAUUGCUCGACAGGUUCUUGCUAGAGGCACAAAAUAUGAUGAAAUCAACGAAGUAGCAAAACUUUUUACCAUUCACGAAGAUUGAUUGAUUUUUGUUCUUUUUGUUUAGAACUUGAAAGGUCAAUAUAUUGCAAACGUAAAAAACAUGUAAAUAAUAUUUCCAUGAAACAAAAGUUAUCUGUAGGAAUGCAACAAUGAUAAUUCUACUUUUGAUUUUUUUCAAACCGUUGAGAGCACAUUCCAAAAGUUUCUAAAAUUAUUAAAACAGUGGGUUUUCUACUCACUGUAGAUAUUUUUCAAAAAUUUAUUUUACAAUUUUAGAAACUUUUCGAUUUGUUUUUGUCAGUUUGGAAAAAAAAAGAUUUUUACAAAUUACGCAGUGUAAAAGGAUGAUUAAAAAUUUUAAAAAUUUAUUUU